GGGGCUGCGGGUUAGGGGGCCGGCGCCCGCGGUUCAGGAUUCCAGAAUUGGAAAUAACGGGAGGGAGGACCUGGUCCAGCUUCCCUUCCUCAAAUAAGGAAAUUGACACCUGGCGUGUAUGCUUUUUAGCCCACUUCGUAGGAAUGGGAGCUGGAAAGGAUGGAUUUAGUAAAUGUUACUAGAGUGAUUGAGUUUAAGCUCCCUGUGGUCCUGUUAGCAUUGUGC
This 225-nucleotide long non-coding RNA is filed under the name Pan troglodytes (chimpanzee). RNAcentral's name for it is "long non-coding RNA NONPTRT003253". Lineage: Eukaryota; Metazoa; Chordata; Mammalia; Primates; Hominidae. The record is from RNAcentral.